Molecule: long non-coding RNA, 1570 nt
Organism: Poecilia latipinna (sailfin molly)
Lineage: Eukaryota; Metazoa; Chordata; Actinopteri; Cyprinodontiformes; Poeciliidae
Exons: 2
Source: RefSeq, a predicted model, not a curated record
ACGAGAGAGGCAGAAGCAUUAUCACCUUCAAUUAAGGAGCAAUAGCUCAAAAUGUUAUGAGUCAGGAACAGCAAAUGUCACAGUUGGGGUUUUGUUUCUGUUGAUCCACCCCCCAUCCCCCAAUCUGGACUUUCACUAUAUACUGUAAAGGCGAGUACAUGUAAAUAAACUUCUGAAUUUAAAGAAAGAAAGAAAAAAAUCAAGGGGAUGGGUCGCUGCGUCGCAGCUUGUCGUCGUCCAACAUAAACAGCGUUGCAGAAAUCUCCACACUCCGAGCUCCACUUUUGUCUUCCUCGCGCUCAAAAUAGAGGCGGUGACCUAUUCAGAUGUAAUGAAUAAUUAAACUCCGAGUCUCUGAUUUUUUAAAUUAACACAAAUUUCUUUGUCGCGAAGGCGCUGACAUUCAAGGUUUCUGGUGUCAGAAGAACCAAUGGAGCCCCAGAGCAUUACUGACCCGCCACCGUGCUUCCACUUAGGCAUGGUGUGCUUUCCAGCAUUAUGCUUCCUUCCUCCUAUUCCAAACAUUUCUUGAUGCACAGACAUAUAUAUUUUUUGCUGCCACCAAGUUUGCCUGCAGGACUUUUCCAGUCGGAGGAAGAUGUUUGGCCACCUGCCUCUUCACAAAUCCAACCACUGAUAACUUCUUCUUGCUAAAAUGUCCGGGUGGUUUAGCAACGAACCUCCUACCUUUAAUUCUGCUAACUAUGCUUUCAACUGCAGGCUCUUUUGCUAUAAUUUUGUAUCUUUUUUUCCCUUUUUUGAGUAAGGUAUUCUAUCUUCUCUGAACUCUCUGGACAAUUCACUAGACUAUAUCUAAAAUGCAAUACAACACUUCCAUGAACAAUCGCUAUCUGGGCUGUUUGUACCUCAAGCAAACCUGAUGCCACCAUUGAAACCACUGAUAGCUUGUACCAGAACUGGGUCUUCAUAAUAGACAAAGCGUUUUAUUAUGAAAAGCUGAGGGUCUUGAAGAAUUGUGAGACUAUACUAAUCAAUUAUUCAAUAAUUUCUAAAUAAAAUUAUUGUAAUGUUAGUGUUCUUUAUCUCAUUAAGCUGUUCUCAUCUAAAUAGUUUAUUACUGAACAGCUGAAAACAAUUUUUUUUACCAGUAAACCUCAUCCGAUUUGAGGUUGCAGAUAUAAAAAAAAUUUUUAAUUAAAUGUACGUUUCGAAAAUCUGGAAAGAUUCUAGGGGUGUGAAAACUUUGGAAAGACAUUUACAACUCCACAACACGAGGACAGAGUUUGAGCAAAGAGUGAGCAAAGAGGUGAAUGCAGGAGUCAGAGUUUAUCUGCAUUAACCAAUAAAGUGAAGGAGACGAAUUGCAGCUUGAGCUCAUCAUGUUAGACCAGUGGCCUGAACUGCAGCAGCGAGCUGCUGGCGAAUUGAAGGAUCUGUAGCUUUUCUUUAGGAAUGUCUGUUAAAAAUGCAUCAAGUUUAUCAAGGGAAGUUAGAGUUCUCUGGGCUCAUUAGUCUGAAUAAAAUAGCACGCUCUGGCAUGAAGAGAUUCCAGCGUUAAAACCGUUGCCAGUUAAUCCAUAUGAGAGCAGAUCCUGCCUGGUGAUCAAAA